Molecule: non-coding RNA, 306 nt
Filed under: Nicotiana sylvestris (wood tobacco)
Lineage: Eukaryota; Viridiplantae; Streptophyta; Magnoliopsida; Solanales; Solanaceae
Description: Bacterial small subunit ribosomal RNA
Rfam family: Bacterial small subunit ribosomal RNA
Source: Rfam by way of RNAcentral
GCCAAAAGCCCAGCGUUCUUUUCCUUCUACUCCCUCCACUGUUCUCAUUUUUGUCAACCAUUUNACUACCAAGCUGGAGUACGGUAGGGGCAGAGGGAAUUUCCGGUGGAGCGGUGAAAUGCGUAGAGAUCGGAAAGAACACCAACGGCUUUUUUUUUUUAUUUUUAUGCUCUGAUUUCAUAGAGACGAAAGCUAGGGGUGCGAAUGAGAUUAGAUACCCCAGUAGUCCUAGCCGUAAACAAUGGAUACUAGGCGUUGUGCGUAUCGACCCGUGCAGUGCUGUAGCUAACGUGUUAAGUAUCCCGC